UUAAAUAAAAUCAAUACUUUUAUUCAGCAAGGAUGUGUUAAAUUGAUAAAAAGUGAUACUAAAGAAAAUCUAUUAUUAGAAUAUAUAUUAUUAGAAUUUUAUUUUGAAUAAAUGCAGUUCUUUUUAACCUUUUAUUCAUCAAAUAUAUUAGACAGCAGAACUGUUUCCAACACUCAUAAUAAAUCAGAAUAUUAGAAUGAUUUCUAAAUGAUCAUGUGAUAGACUGGAUGUUACAUGUGACACUGAAGGCUGGAUUAAUGAUGCUGAAAAUUCAGCUUUGCGUCACAGGAAUAAAUUAUUUUUUUUAAUGUAUAUUCAAAUAGAAAACUAUUAUUUUAAGUUGUAAUAAUAUUUCACAAUAUUACUGUUUUUUCUGUAUUUUUGAUCAAAUAAAUGCAGGCUUGAUGAGCAGAAGAAACUUCUUUCAAAAACAUUAAAAAUAGUAAUGUUUCCUAACUUUUGGUCUGUACUGUAUAUAAAUAUAUAUAUAUAUGCGCCAUUAAACCAGAUUUGAUAUAGAUAGCUAUAAACAUUAGAAGUUAAGCUUGACAAGUUUAUCUUCAAACUGUUGCUCUGCCAUAAAAAGAGUUUACACUAAUGCUCAUGCUUCGCUAGUGGCAGUGCUUUAAAUCCGAGGUAGCACAGCUAGAAGCAUUAAGAUUGACUUACUUGCGUAGAUUGUUACUGUCCUGAGGAAAUAAUAAACUUGGCAUUAAUAAGGCAUCAUUGGAUUGAAGAGUCAGUUAGGAUGUACAUUUUCUGGAGAGUUACCCGUUAUAUUUUACCUCGUCAGUUUUCCCAAAAUGCAAUCUUGCAAAUGUAUCUUAUGAAAGAUGUUGCUUUAACUGAUGUGGUUAAGGCCAAUUAAAUGAACGUGAUUGUAAUUCUCUCUGCAGUCUUCACAUUUCCCUGUCAGCUAUCACAAGAAUGUCUUAAUAUGCAGUUGGAGUGUUUUGCCUAUACAGGAAUGUAUCGCCUUAUAUAAACAUUGCUGUUUGCUGGUGUCUAAUGACACUAAUUGAAAAUAAUUUCAAAGAGCCACACAUUUUAUACAGAUCGCACAUGUAAGAAACGUGAAGGAUCCUGGUUAGUCAACCAGCUAACCAGCUGUUAAACUAUGGUUUUGGUGAUGACUUGUAGAAUGCAUUAAGAUGUGUACAUUUCUGUGGGAUACACUAAGAAGGUCUUUGUCAUCAGCAUCUACUUAACUGAAUAAAGUUAAACUAUCUCAUUAAAAA
This is a long non-coding RNA of Cyprinus carpio carpio, 1238 nucleotides long. Lineage: Eukaryota; Metazoa; Chordata; Actinopteri; Cypriniformes; Cyprinidae. The record is from Ensembl.